AGCGAACGCUGGCGGCAGGCUUAACACAUGCAAGUCGAACGCGUGCAGCAAUGCACGAGUGGCGCACGGGUGAGUAACGAGUGGAUAUCUGCCUUUUGGUUCGGAAUAACCCCGGGAAACUGGGGCUAAUACCGGAUGGUUCCUACGGGAUAAAGAUUUAUCGCCAAAAGAUGAGUCCGCGUCCGAUUAGCUAGUUGGUGAGGUAAUGGCUCACCAAGGCGACGAUCGGUAGCUGGUCUGAGAGGACGAUCAGCCACACUGGGACUGAGACACGGCCCAGACUCCUACGGGAGGCAGCAGUGGGGAAUAUUGGACAAUGGGGGCAACCCUGAUCCAGCCAUGCCGCGUGAGUGAUGAAGGCCUUCGGGUUGUAAAGCUCUUUUGGCGGGGACGAUGAUGACGGUACCCGCAGAAUAAGCCCCGGCUAACUUCGUG
RNAcentral lists this ribosomal RNA (435 nucleotides) under uncultured bacterium. RNAcentral's name for it is "partial 16S ribosomal RNA". It matches the Rfam family "Bacterial small subunit ribosomal RNA", at positions 29 to 507 of the family's 1533-position model. The record is from RNAcentral.